Molecule: ribosomal RNA, 434 nt
Filed under: uncultured bacterium
Lineage: Bacteria
Description: bacterial SSU rRNA
Rfam family: Bacterial small subunit ribosomal RNA
Source: RNAcentral
GAUGAACGCUGGCGGUGUGCCUUAGGCAUGCAAGUCGAACGCUCCCUUCGGGGAGAGUGGCAGACGGGUGAGUAACGCGUAGGAAUCUACCCAAAAGUGGGGAAUAGCUCGCCGAAAGGCGGGGUAAUACCGCAUGUGAUCGCAAGAUUAAAGCCUUCGGGCGCUUUUGGAGGAGCCUGCGUCCUAUCAGGUAGUUGGUAGAGUAAUAGCCUACCAAGCCGAUGACGGGUAGCCGAUGUGAGAGCAUGAUCGGCCACAAGGUCACUGAGACACGGGGCCUACACCUACGGGUGGCAGCAACCGGGAAUAUUGCGCAAUGGACGAAAGUCUGACGCAGCGACACCGCGUGUGGGAAGACGCUUUUCGGAGUGUAAACCACUGUGGCGAGGGAUGAAUUUUGACAGUACCUCGCUAGAAAGCACCUGCUAACCACG